This 1396-nucleotide long non-coding RNA is filed under the name Coffea arabica (coffee). Its description in RNAcentral is "long non-coding RNA (CARA_LNC005185)". The record is from RNAcentral. Lineage: Eukaryota; Viridiplantae; Streptophyta; Magnoliopsida; Gentianales; Rubiaceae.
GCUACAACAUCGGAGUUUGUUAGUCAUGACUAGACUAGUACUAAUACAACAUUUAACCACAGUAGAAAAUCUCAAAUAUCCCUUUCUACUUCUUUCGUGGUUCCAAUCAGAACCUCAGGUUAGGUACCGGCAAAUGUACUAUAUGCGUGUCUGGACAGUCCCCCCGGGAGAAGGGGAGCGGGGGUUGGCCUUGGUAGAGAUUAAAGAACCUCUCAAAGCAUUUUGAUCUCUUUACAAGCUUACAAAACAUUAGGAGCUUUGAGGGCAGAUCAGCAGAAAAUCAAAAUAUGAUAUUAUGGUAGGGGGGGGGGGGGGGGAAUAAUAAAGGAAAGGGGGGGUCACGAGGGUCUCAUGAGAUGGUGGUGAAACCCAUUUUUCUGAGUCCAAUCUUGAGGUCUUACUAUCUGCUGUGGGUCAGAGAAAACAAUAAUAAUUAAUAUAUGUUGUCAAGAAAAAAAAAGAAAAAGAAAAAGAAACAAGUCAGCCAUCGGCCUCCACUGUUUUUGUUCUCUCCCCAAACGCCCUUGGUUGAGAAAGCUUUUGGAAACAGUUUUCGGUUUGGUCAAGUCCCUCUCGUCAUAAUAGCCAUGUCUGUCUGUCCUACUGCUUUUAGUCAUGAGAGGAGAACUGAUUCAAAGGACACCGACGAUUGUGACAAUUCAUCACUGUACGGUGUUAUUUCCCGUAAAAAUCCCAUUUUCUACCUCGAUCUCUUUUCACCUCCCCCAAGAAGAAAACCAAAGAAAAAAACCUACGUUCUCUGUCUCUGCUGCACGUUAAAUAUGGUAGCAAAAUUAACCCAAAAAGAAACACCCCCAUGCCCUUCCACACCCUCGUUGGAUCAAAAAGAUCAGUAGGAGAGUUUGCUAGAGAACACAAGAAAAGGCUUUUCUUGCAUGCUCGAGAGAGACUAAUUAAAUAGUAGAAGAACAAGAAACGCUCCGGAUCAGUCGACGACGCAGGCAAAAAUCACUCGAACGUGGAAACUAUAACAAAGAAGAUUAAUUCAGCAUGUAUUAGUAGCGCAACCACAGGACUUGACCUGAGAAGAGAGAGUCUCGACAACCAUUUUGAUUUUCUACAUACAUAAUGAGGAGGGUAACAAAGACAUGUUUUCUUGCGACACAUUUGAUGUUAGAAUCUAAGCUACAACAUCGGAGUUUGUUAGUCAUGACUAGACUAGUGUACUAAUACAACAUUUAGCCACAGUAGAAAAUCUCAAAUAUCCCUUUCUACUUUCUUUCGUGGUUCCAAUCAGAACCCCCAGGCUAGGUACCGGCAAAUGUACUAUAUGCGUGUCUGGACAGUCCCCCCGGGAGAAGGGGAGCGGGGGUUGGCCUUGGUAGAGAUUAAAGAACCUCUCAAAGCAUUUUGAUCUCUUUACAAGCUUACAAAA